GGUUAUUGCUCAGUGGUGAGCGCUCGCCUGGCAUGUGCGAGACCCUGGGUUCAAUCCUCAGCACCA
RNAcentral lists this transfer RNA (66 nucleotides) under Marmota monax (woodchuck). RNAcentral describes it as "tRNA.Ala". Lineage: Eukaryota; Metazoa; Chordata; Mammalia; Rodentia; Sciuridae. The record is from RNAcentral.